This is an RNA transcript of Pristis pectinata (smalltooth sawfish), 1114 nucleotides long. It is a transcript of the gene named BLOC-1 related complex subunit 8, with no coding region annotated. The record is from RefSeq and is a predicted model, not a curated record. Lineage: Eukaryota; Metazoa; Chordata; Chondrichthyes; Rhinopristiformes; Pristidae. The transcript is spliced from 7 exons.
AGCAGCUUCUCUGUCGCCGGCGGAACCCGCGUCACUGCCCCGGCUUCCGGCGGACACUUCCGGGAGCUGCACUGGAAAUGGAGGAGCCCGAGCUCCAGCUGCGAGUCCGGCGGGUUACAGAUAAAUUCACGGAGAGUAUGUACUUUCUGGCUAAUGAGCCCUCAGUGGCUCUUUACCGUCUCCAGGAGCACGUUCGCCGCUCCCUUCCUGAGCUGGUGCAGCACAAGACAGAUAUGCAAAGCGUGGAAGAACAAUGCCAGGGAGCAAUAUAUACUGUCGAAUACGCCUGCAGCGCAGUGAAGAGCAUGUCUAACAGUGCAGCCUAUUUCACCAACAUCGAGGGGUUGCUCCGACAAGCCAUCAGCAUCAAGGACCAGAUGAGCUCUUUGCAGAGCCGCAGAGCCAAGCGUGCACCCCUCCCUUUCCAGGAAGUGAUGCAAAGAAUGUCCUGAGCUUGGGUUGGAGAAUAAGUCGCAUGAGUAUCAGUCUUGUCUUCAAAGGGCCAGUGUUGGAUGGUGUAUUCAGUGAAUAAUGGCCGUCAAGCUCAUCCCAGCCCAUGUGAACCAACCGGAUCAGACACUCUGAAGUUCUGAAGUCGGACAGUUGACAGCACUGGUGUGUGUGUGUGUAUGCGUAUCUGUGUACACGUGCAUGCGUGUGUAUGCACACGGGUACUUGGCUAUAAGAGACAUUGCCUCCUGUAGGAACUUGUUGCAUCAGCACCUUGUGACAGCAGUGAAGAAUCUGCUCCACAGAAGCCACGCAUCCUCUGCAUAUAAUUCUCAUCCUGUCAUUAGCUCGGUUCUCUACCCAAAGUAGUGCUGCACGGUGACUGGGGGAGAGCUCGACUGUCUGCAGGCCGUCAGUGCUAGUGAAGAUUGUGUACAGAGGACAUGGGUCCCCUGUUCCUCCCACCCACGAUAUCUGAAGGCACUGUGCAAAGUUCUGCCUCGGCUGCUCUGCUUGAAACUCCUCAGUCCUAUCUCGAGAUGUGGGUUGGGCUGUUCUGUGGCAAGGGGCUGAUCUCAGCAGAGUGCCUGAGAUUGUAUGGUUUUGUGGGCUUGCAUUAACGAUCUGUGCAUCCUGUAAUAAAUAAAUGGAUGGGAAGACUGAA